AGGUAGUUUUAUUCUUGCUUUUCUGUUCAGUAUUUUCUUGUUUUAUAUGUAAGUUUUUGCGUGAUUUAUGUUUUAAUUUCUUGAUGGUUUAAAGGUUGGUACGUAUUUAGCAUGUUGUUAAUCGCAUUAUUUAUUAUUAUAUGUCUAGGUUUCUAGGAUUUAGCAGUGAAAUUUAGUGGUGGCUAAGUUUGUGCCAGCAGCCGCGGUUAUACAUUAAGUGCUAUUGAAUAUUUUCGGUUAUGCAGUUUGAUUAGUGUUGUUUUUGGCAAAAGUCCUUUAGUUUUUAGGUGGAAUUAUUUAUUUUUGGUUAUUGCUUUUUUUCUGUGUUUGUAGGCUGUGAAAUCUUUAUUUUAAACUAGGAUUAGAUACCCUAUUAUUUUUGAUGUUAAUUGUAUUUUCCUGGGUAGUAUUAGGUAUGUUCUUGAAACCUAAAGAAUUUGGCGGUAUUUUAUUCCUUUCAGAGGAAUCUGCCCUGUAAUCGAUAAUCCGCGUUGGACCUUACUUAAUUCUUUGUUUGUAUACCGCCGUUAUAAUGAAGAUCUUUUUAGUGUUUAUAAUUUUCUAGUUUCGUUAAUGUGGUUUAUUUCAGGUCAAGGUGCAGCUUGUUUUUAAGUUUGAGGUGGAUUACAUUGUGUUAAUGGAUUUGUGGAUUAUUGGUUGUUAUUGAUUAGUAUGAAAUUGGAUUUGAUUGUAAUUUAAUGAAGAUUGCUUGAAUGAUAUUGGUUCUAAAAUAUGUACACAUCGCCCGUCGCUCUCAUUAUAUUAGUUGAGAUAAGUCGUAACAAAGUGGUCGUACCGGAAGGUGUGGCUGGAAUGUC
Molecule: non-coding RNA, 818 nt
Filed under: Glyptotermes sp.
Lineage: Eukaryota; Metazoa; Arthropoda; Insecta; Blattodea; Kalotermitidae
Source: RNAcentral